This 263-nucleotide long non-coding RNA is filed under the name Chinchilla lanigera (long-tailed chinchilla). RNAcentral describes it as "lncRNA (ENSCLAG00000027232.1)". The record is from RNAcentral. Lineage: Eukaryota; Metazoa; Chordata; Mammalia; Rodentia; Chinchillidae.
UAUUAGAUACUCACAGGUAUGUACUUUUAUUACCUUUCUAGAGUCCUCUAUCCUGGUGGAAUCAGCUCCACUCCUGAUGGGAAGGGACAAGAGUUGCUUCACCUACUCACAGAAAUUCACGUAAUUUAGAAACAUGUGCCUGAGAGCCUCAGAAGAACAAAGGGAAGAUCCAGUAAAAUACAACUCAACUGUCUGUGAGUAUGUAUGCAGAAGUAGAGCUGGAGUCAAUAGAUAAUAGGCCAGAUCUUUGUACUUAGAAAUUC